RNAcentral lists this long non-coding RNA (2259 nucleotides) under Salmo salar (Atlantic salmon). RNAcentral's name for it is "lncRNA (ENSSSAG00000100381.1)". Lineage: Eukaryota; Metazoa; Chordata; Actinopteri; Salmoniformes; Salmonidae. The record is from RNAcentral.
CCAGUGUCCAUGCUGUAAAUUGUUGUAAUUACAGCAAAUGCAAUGUUAUUUCUAUUGCAUAAUUGUCAUUCAUAUGUAAUUAUUAUUUUUCAGAGAGGAGUGACCAAAAUGAACCUCUGGUUUCCUGGGCCACAGGAGUGUGCAAGAAAGUGGUCAGCACAUUUUCUUAUAGUUGGAAGAAUCAGAAGGCCUUGACACAGGAUAAACUGAGCCUGCCCCUCGACAAGCUCUUCAUGGACUCCCCGACAAGGUGGUGAUCUCGACUGCAGAUGAUGGAAAGAGUCUUGGAGCAAAAGGGCAGUAGACAAAAAAACAUGGCACCCUGCAACCUCCUGGCAAGACAUUGAGGUCUUUGAAUCUAUCACGGCAACACUUAAGCCCCUCCAGAAUUUCACAGAUGCCCUGUUAGGAGAGACAUACAGUGAGGGAAAAAAGUAUUUGAUCCCCUGCUGAUUUUGUACGUUUGCCCACUGACAAAGAAAUGAUCAGUCUAUAAUUUUAAUGGUAGGUUUAUUUGAACAGUGAGAGACAGAAUAACAACAAAAAAAUCCAGAAAAACGCAUGUCAAAAAUGUUAUAAAAUGAUUUGCAUUUUAAUGAGGGAAUGUUCUGUGCAGAAUCUGUGUAAGUUGACCUAGAACACAAAUGCACAUCAUGACUUCAACAAAGAAGGCAACUUGGAACGUAACCGAUCCUCCCAUGCGAUCAUCCUCUUUCCAGGCUAGCUAAUGACUAACGUUAGAUGGAUAUACGGAAAUUCUUCAAGAGAGGCAGUGCCAGCAGCUCUGCCGAAGGCCAAUCCGCAGACAAGAAUGAGGGAAAGAAGCUGGAAAGGGCUGAGGGAGCAUGUCUGAUGAAGGGUCAUGCAGAAAGAGAGGCUUCUAUGCAAGGCAGAGAUCAACAUGCGAGCUGUAUAAGUGAGAGAGAGCAAGCAUGCCCAGAGAAAGAGGGACAAGAAACAGAUCCAGAGAGGGAGGGACAACAAACAGAUCCAGAGAGAGAGGGACAACAAACAGAUCCAGACGUGGGAGGGACAACAAACAGAUCCAGAGCGAGAGGAACAGCGAAACAGAUACAGAGCGAGAGGAACAGCGAACAGAUCCAGAGCGAGAGGGACAAGAAACAGAUCCAGAGAGAGAGGGACAACAAACAGAUCCAGACAGGGAGGGAGAACAAACGGAUCCAGAGAGAGGGACAACAAACAGAUCCAGACAGGGAGGGAGAACAAACGGAUCCAGAGAGAGGGACAACAAACAGAUCCAGAGAGGGAGGGACAACAAACAGAUCCAGAGAGGGAGGGAGAGAACAAAGUGAUCCAGACAGGGAGGGACAACAAACAGAUCCAGAGAGGGAGGGACAAGAACCAGAUCCAGACAGGGAGGGAGAACAAACAGAUCCAGACAGGGAGGGACAACAAACAGAUCCAGAGAGGGAGGGACAACAAACAGAUCCAGAGAGGGAGGGAGAGAACAAACUGAUCCAGAGAGGGAGGGAGAGAACAAACUGAUCCAGACAGGGAGGGACAACAAACAGAUCCAGAAAGGGAGGGACAACAAACAGAUCCAGAGAGGGACAAGAACCAGAUCCAGACAGGGAGGGAGAACAAACAGAUCCAGACAGGGAGGGACAACAAACAGAUCCAGUGAAAGAAAGUAAUCAACCCGCUGCAGCAACUCCUUCGAGAAAUGAGAGUGAUUUAGGUGACAAAGACACUGGGCCCAGACAAGUGAAGCUGAAUAGCUACCCACAUUAAAGUUUUGGUACACAGAAAAGGGCAUUUCAGCACUGCUGGUUUGAGAAAUACAAUUGGGUAGGGUACUCUGUCCACAAAAAUGCAGCUUUCUGCUUUCCAUGUAGAGUUUUUGGCAAAAACAUUGAAUUUGAUUAUUUUGUCAGUAAUGGCUGCAAAAUGGGAAAAAAGAUUUGUUUAUCUUCGAAAACAUGAAAUGGCACAAACACACAGACAAUGUUGUGGCAUGGCAAAGCUACCAGGCAACUAGCAGUCAUGAGAACAUUGCUCAGAUUUGAACAUCUGCCCAUGCUAGUAAUAUUGCAGAGAGAAGGGAGUAUCUGAGUAGAAUUGUUGCAGUCACCUCAAUGUUAGGAAGACAGGGACUCUAUCCGUGCCAAUGAUGAAUCUAGUGAAAGCACAAAUAGAGGGAGCUUUCUUGAAUAUAUGGAGCUUUUGAAGGAGUUUGACCCUUUCCUGCAAAGGUACAAUACUCCAUCAAAUGCGACGUAUCUCUUUCCAGAAACUCAG